AUAUACAUUUAGGUGAUUUGGGGUUUAAAAUUGUGCCUUCGAUUGAGUUGGUCCUCUGCCUCAACUUUCUGUCUCCUUCAUCCAUUUUCUCUAAUUUUCCUUUGUUUUGAAGGUAUGCCAUCUGGUGUAUGCAAAACUCAAAGAAAGACGUCCGGCACUGCUGUUCUACCCUAAUAUUAGGAUGGAAGUAAGUCUUAAUCAUUAUUUUUACCCCUAAUUUAACUCAAAAUUUAACUGUCGAGAUAUUUACUUUGUUGAAUGUAAUUACUGAAGAAACUUGUUAUCAUUGUGUGGAAUCUAUCCUAGUUAGUAUUUUAACAAGACAAGUGAAAACGCGAGAAUUCUUAUUUUGUUGUAAUGGGUUCUUUGACAUUAGUUUUUCUGGAUGAAUGCAUUCUAAACUCUAACUUCUUUUGUCGUA
Non-coding RNA from Solanum lycopersicum (tomato), 421 nucleotides. NCBI's taxonomy places the organism in Eukaryota, Viridiplantae, Streptophyta, Magnoliopsida, Solanales, Solanaceae. The record is from RefSeq and is a predicted model, not a curated record.